RNAcentral lists this ribosomal RNA (418 nucleotides) under Corynebacterium sphenisci. RNAcentral's name for it is "bacterial SSU rRNA". It matches the Rfam family "Bacterial small subunit ribosomal RNA", at positions 923 to 1342 of the family's 1533-position model. Lineage: Bacteria; Bacillati; Actinomycetota; Actinomycetes; Mycobacteriales; Corynebacteriaceae. The record is from RNAcentral.
GCACAAGCGGCGGAGCAUGUGGAUUAAUUCGAUGCAACGCGAAGAACCUUACCUGGGCUUGACAUAUACGGGAUCGCCGUGGAGACACGGUUUCCCUUGUGGCUCGUAUACAGGUGGUGCAUGGUUGUCGUCAGCUCGUGUCGUGAGAUGUUGGGUUAAGUCCCGCAACGAGCGCAACCCUUGUCUCAUGUUGCCAGCACGUUAUGGUGGGGACUCGUGAGAGACUGCCGGGGUCAACUCGGAGGAAGGUGGGGAUGACGUCAAAUCAUCAUGCCCCUUAUGUCCAGGGCUUCACACAUGCUACAAUGGUCGGUACAGUGGGUUGCGAUGCCGUGAGGUUCAGCUAAUCCCUUGAAAGCCGGUCUCAGUUCGGAUCGGGGUCUGCAACUCGACCCCGGAAGUCGGAGUCGCUAGUAAU